RNAcentral lists this small RNA (27 nucleotides) under Bombyx mori (domestic silkworm). RNAcentral describes it as "piRNA piR-bmo-1716139". The record is from RNAcentral. Lineage: Eukaryota; Metazoa; Arthropoda; Insecta; Lepidoptera; Bombycidae.
UGAUGAUGAAACUUAGGAAUAAAGCUC